CAAUGCCCCUGCAGUGCAGCC
This 21-nucleotide microRNA is filed under the name Chrysemys picta bellii (western painted turtle). RNAcentral describes it as "Cpi-Mir-33-P1_3p (mature (co-guide))". The record is from RNAcentral. Lineage: Eukaryota; Metazoa; Chordata; Testudines; Emydidae. RNAcentral also lists the same sequence under 2 other names.